CUGGUGUCAGCCGCCGUGGUAAUACCAGCACCCCGAGUGGUCGGGACGAUUAUUGGGCCUAAAGCAUCCGUAGCCGGUACUGCAAGUCUUCCGUUAAAUCCACCUGCUCAACAGUUGGGCUGCGGGGGAUACUACAGCGCUAGGAGGCGGGAGAGGCAAGCGGUACUUAAUGGGUAGGGGUAAAAUCCACUGAUCCAUUGAAGACCACCAGUGGCGAAGGCGGCUUGCCAGAACGCGCUCGACGGUGAGGGAUGAAAGCUGGGGGAGCAAACCGGAUUAGAUACCCGGGUAGUCCCAGCUGUAAACGAUGCAGACUCGGUGAUGGGCUGGCCUUGUGCCAACCCAGUGCCGCAGGGAAGCCGUUAAGUCUGCCGCCUGGGGAGUACGGUCGCAUGACUGAAACUUAAAG
Molecule: ribosomal RNA, 409 nt
Filed under: uncultured Nitrososphaerota archaeon
Lineage: Archaea; Thermoproteati; Nitrososphaerota
Description: bacterial SSU rRNA
Rfam family: Archaeal small subunit ribosomal RNA
Source: RNAcentral